Molecule: long non-coding RNA, 360 nt
Organism: Ictalurus punctatus (channel catfish)
Lineage: Eukaryota; Metazoa; Chordata; Actinopteri; Siluriformes; Ictaluridae
Source: Ensembl
UCUGGUUCUCCACUCAGGAUUGUGAUUGUGUUCUGGUUCUCCACUCAGGAUUGUGUUCUGGUUCUCCACUCAGGAUUGUGUUCUGGUUCUGGUUCUCCACUCAGGAUUGUGUUCUGGUUCUCCACUCAGGAUUGUGUUCUGGUUCUCUUCUGAGGAAUGUGUUCUGGUUCUGGUUCUCCACUCAGGAUUGUGUUCUGGUUCUCCACUCAGGAUUGUGUUCUGGUUCUCCACUCGGGAUUGUGUUCUGGUUCUCUUCUGAGGAAUGUGAUUGUGUUCUGGUUCUCCACUCAGGAUUGUGUUCUGGUUCUCUUCUGAGGAAUGUGUUCUGGUUCUGGUUCUCCACUCAGGAUUGUGUUCUGG